GACGAACGCUGGCGGCGUGCUUAACACAUGCAAGUCGAGCGAUGAAGCCGGAGCUUGCUCCGGUGGAUUAGUGGCGAACGGGUGAGUAACACGUGAGCAAUCUGCCCUUGACUCUGGGAUAACUGCGGGAAACUGUAGCUAAUACCGGAUACGACACCUUGGGGCAUCCCAGGGUGUGGAAAGAAUUUCGGUCAAGGAUGAGCUCGCGGCCUAUCAGCUAGUUGGUGAGGUAAUGGCUCACCAAGGCGACGACGGGUAGCCGGCCUGAGAGGGUGACCGGCCACACUGGAACUGGGACACGGUCCAGACUCCCACGGGAGGCAGCAGUGGGGAAUAUUGCACAAUGGGCGAAAGCCUGAUGCAACAACGCCGCGUGAGGGAUGAAGGCCUUCGGGUUGUAAACCUCUUUUAGCAGGGAAGAAGCGAAAGUGACGGUACCUGCAGAAAAAGCACCGGCUAACUACGUGCCAGCCGCCGCCGUAA
This 483-nucleotide ribosomal RNA is filed under the name uncultured bacterium. RNAcentral's name for it is "partial 16S ribosomal RNA". It matches the Rfam family "Bacterial small subunit ribosomal RNA", at positions 28 to 523 of the family's 1533-position model. The record is from RNAcentral.